Molecule: ribosomal RNA, 539 nt
Filed under: Gymnopilus luteofolius
Lineage: Eukaryota; Fungi; Basidiomycota; Agaricomycetes; Agaricales; Galerinaceae
Description: eukaryotic LSU rRNA
Rfam family: 5.8S ribosomal RNA (bases 181-334)
Source: RNAcentral
GUCAUCUUUAUCUUUCCACCUGUGCACUUUUUGUANAUUUGGAUGUAACUGUCCGAGGCAACUCGGUUGGGAGGAAUGCUAUCUUUGAUGGCUUUCCUUGUAUGUCCAAGUCUAUGUCUUCAUAUACUCCAAGUAUGUAACAGAAUGUAUCACUGGGCCUUGUGCCUAUAAACUAUAUACAACUUUCAGCAACGGAUCUCUUGGCUCUCGCAUCGAUCAAGAACGCAGCGAAAUGCGAUAAGUAAUGUGAAUUGCAGAAUUCAGUGAAUCAUCGAAUCUUUGAACGCACCUUGCGCCCCUUGGUAUUCCGAGGGGCAUGCCUGUUUGAGUGUCAUUAAAUUCUCAACCUUACUAGCUUUUGCGAAGUAAUGGCUUGGACUUGGGGGUCUUUUGCUGGUUUCGAAAGAGAUCUGCUCCCCUUAAAUGUAUUAGCCGGUGCCCCGCGUGGACUGUCUAUUGGUGUGAUAAUUAUNUACGCCGUUAGAUGUCUGCUAUUAAAUGGGAUGNGCUGCUUNUAAUCGUCCUCAGGACAAUUAUUG